This 480-nucleotide ribosomal RNA is filed under the name uncultured bacterium. Its description in RNAcentral is "partial 16S ribosomal RNA". It matches the Rfam family "Bacterial small subunit ribosomal RNA", at positions 28 to 523 of the family's 1533-position model. The record is from RNAcentral.
AAUGAACGUUGGCGGCGUGGAUUAGGCAUGCAAGUCGUGCGAUAACCCCGCAAGGGGGGAAAGCGGCGAAAGGGAGAGUAACGCGUGGGUACCUGCCCCUUGGUCCGGAAUAGCUGCGGGAAACUGCAGGUAAUGCCGGAUAAUAUCCUCGGAUCAAAGGUGUGAUUCCGCCGAGGGAGGGGCCCGCGUUCUAUUAGCUAGUUGGUAGGGUAAUGGCCUACCAAGGCGACGAUGGAUACCGGGUGUGAGAGCAUGACCCGGCUCACUGGGUCUGAGACACUGCCCAGACGCCUACGGGUGGCUGCAGUCGAGAAUCUUCGGCAAUGGGCGCAAGCCUGACCGAGCGACGCCGCGUGCGGGAUGAAGGCCUUCGGGUUGUAAACCGCUGUCGUAGAGGAGGAAAUGCCAUGGGGUUCUCUCCAUGGUUUGACCUAUUCUAGGAGGAAGGACGGGCUAAGUUCGUGCCAGCCGCCGCAGUAA